Molecule: long non-coding RNA, 766 nt
Organism: Mastomys coucha (southern multimammate mouse)
Lineage: Eukaryota; Metazoa; Chordata; Mammalia; Rodentia; Muridae
Exons: 2
Source: RefSeq, a predicted model, not a curated record
AAUAAGUCUCAGGAAGGUACCAAGGAAUGUCAGUAGUGGGAGGUGGGCAAAAUCAGGAUGCUGAUGACAUCUCAUUAACUUGUGGUACACAAGCUCACUGUUCUCCGAGUCAAGAAUCCUCUACUCUUGACAGAAGGGCACAAUGUAGUUAAUUAACGGGACUGCUAUUCUGGAAAGCAACAUGUAGGCAUACACUGUGACGGAAUCCCUCUGAGACACACGAAGAGAAACGACAUUUAAAUUCCCAUCAGAAAUCCUAAACGAAUGAAAUGGGGAAGAGGAGAACGAGUGUAAGCAAAGUUUGCCUGCAGAAAAACACCUUUUCUGAGCUUCCGGGUAGUCAGCUACCAGAAAGCUCUUCUGAAGGAUUCUUUACCUGCCGCCCAGAAAUCCAACCAAGAAAAGUUGAAGUGAAUAAUUGUAAAUCAUGGAGGUACUAGCAAGUGUCAACCAUGCCAGGUUUCCCCUCCGUGUUGUGAGUAAGAUUUGAUGAAAAAAAAAAAAAAACAGAUGGAAGCACAAUGUAGAGUACUAGGCUAAGAGAAUGACAGACAGCUUCAGUCACAUCUACUGCAGGAAUCUUUUAAUCCUAUGCAGAUGCACGCCCUUUUCCUAGCACAUACUCACACUCUACUAAGCCCAAAGUCACUAUGUCCUAAUGCUUUUCUGCUGAGGGCUAUUGUUUUUUUUGCAGCUAGUCACCAGAAUUGUCAACCCUGUAACUGCCUACUCCAAGAGAUUUAAAUAUAUUGUUUAAAAUACUCAA